AGAGUAUGAUCCUGGCUCAGAACGAACGCUGGCGGCAGGCUUAACACAUGCAAGUCGAACGAGAUCUUCGGAUCUAGUGGCGGACGGGUGAGUAACGCGUGGGAACAUGCCCUUCACUACGGAAUAGUCCCGGGAAACUGGGUUUAAUACCGUAUACGCCCUUCGGGGGAAAGAAUUUCGGUGAAGGAUUGGCCCGCGUUAGAUUAGGUAGUUGGUGGGGUAAUGGCCUACCAAGCCUACGAUCUAUAGCUGGUUUUAGAGGAUGAUCAGCCACACUGGGACCGAGACACGGCCCAGACUCCUACGGGAGGCAGCAGUGGGGAAUCUUAGACAAUGGGCGAAAGCCUGAUCUAGCCAUGCCGCGUGAGUGACGAAGGCCUUAGGGUCGUAAAGCUCUUUCGCCAGGGAUGAUAAUGACAGUACCUGGUAAAGAAACCCCGGCUAACUCCGUGCCAGCAGCCGCGGUAAUACGGAGGGGGUUAGCGUUGUUCGGAAUUACUGGGCGUAAAGCGCGCGUAGGCGGAUUGGAAAGUUGGGGGUGAAAUCCCAGGGCUCAACCCUGGAACUGCCUCCAAAACUACUAGUCUAGAGUUCGAGAGA
RNAcentral lists this ribosomal RNA (600 nucleotides) under uncultured marine bacterium. RNAcentral describes it as "bacterial SSU rRNA". It matches the Rfam family "Bacterial small subunit ribosomal RNA", at positions 8 to 655 of the family's 1533-position model. The record is from RNAcentral.